AUCCCAGAACACUAAAACAACACAUGGAAGAAAAACCAUAAAGCGAAACCCACCUCCCUCCUACUCUCUUCACUUUCUCUUCCAUCUAGGGUUCCCUCUUUAUCUUUCCUAGUUUAAUUUAUUAGUUUAUAGUUUAACUCAAUGGUUGGUUGGUGAAAAAAGCAUGUCCACAUGCCCGAGAGAGAUCCCUCGUUAGCUUCAACAGAAUCUCCCUUUGAUCGUUCCUCUAUUUUCUUUUGUACUUCUGUCAAUGGCGCUUGCUCUGUGAAAGCUGGGAAAAGAAAAAUAUGAUUCAGAAAUCAGGCGGGAAUCCAAUAGAUUAUUAGCUGGACUGGGAAUCUUGAUGACCAUGAAGAUCGGCGGAGCUGUGUUGUUUUGGCUGGUUUUCACUUCGUGAGCAAGAAACUACCUUCUUGUUUUUCGGGGUCUCGGUUUUGAGAUAUGACGUUUUGGAUUGGCUGAAUCGAAUCUAGUGCUAUAUUUAUGUAUUUGCUGUUUCUUAGUGGGGAAACAAGGAUAACUGCGUACCAGUUCAGGCAGCCUCUCUCUCCACAAAC
Prosopis cineraria is the source of this 557-nucleotide long non-coding RNA. RefSeq lists it as uncharacterized. The transcript has 2 exons. Lineage: Eukaryota; Viridiplantae; Streptophyta; Magnoliopsida; Fabales; Fabaceae. The record is from RefSeq and is a predicted model, not a curated record.